RNAcentral lists this ribosomal RNA (253 nucleotides) under uncultured bacterium. RNAcentral's name for it is "partial 16S ribosomal RNA". It matches the Rfam family "Bacterial small subunit ribosomal RNA", at positions 524 to 776 of the family's 1533-position model. The record is from RNAcentral.
UACGUAGGGUGCGAGCGUUGUCCGGAAUUAUUGGGCGUAAAGGGCUCGUAGGCGGUUUGUCACGUCGGGAGUGAAAACUCAGGGCUUAACCCUGAGCCUGCUUCCGAUACGGGCAGACUAGAGGUAUGCAGGGGAGAAUGGAAUUCCUGGUGUAGCGGUGAAAUGCGUAGAUAUCAGGAGGAACACCGGUGGCGAAGGCGGCUACCUGGACAGAAACUGACGCUGAGGCGCGAAAGCUAGGGGAGCAAACAGG